Molecule: ribosomal RNA, 497 nt
Filed under: uncultured bacterium
Lineage: Bacteria
Description: partial 16S ribosomal RNA
Rfam family: Bacterial small subunit ribosomal RNA
Source: RNAcentral
GAUGAACGCUGGCGGCGUGCCUAAUACAUGCAAGUCGAGCGAACAGACGCGGAGCUUGCUCCUCUGACGUUAGCGGCGGACGGGUGAGUAACACGUGGAUAACCUACCUAUAAGACUGGGAUAACUUCGGGAAACCGGAGCUAAUACCGGAUAAUAUAUUGAACCGCAUUGUUCAAUGGUGAAAGACGGUUUUGCUGUCAGUUAUCGAUGGAUCCGCGCCGCUUUAGCUAGUUGGUACGGUAACGGCUUACGAAGGCGACGAUGCGUAGCCGACCUGAGAGGGUGAUAGGCCACACUGGAACUUAGACACGGUCAAGACGCCUACGGGACGCAGCAGUAGGGAAUCGGCCGCAAUGGGCGAAAGCCUGACGGAGCAACGGCGCGUGAGAGAUGAAGGUCUUCGGAUCGUAAAACUCUGUUACUAGGGAAGAACAAAUGUGGAAGUAACUAUGCACGGAGUGACGGUACCUAAUCAGAAAGCCACGGCUAACUACGUG